UACGUAGGGCGCAAGCGUUGUCCGGAAUUAUUGGGCGUAAAGAGCUCGUAGGCGGCUUGUCACGUCGGGUGUGAAAGCCCGGGGCUUAACCCCGGGUCUGCAUUCGAUACGGGCUAGCUAGAGUGUGGUAGGGGAGAUCGGAAUUCCUGGUGUAGCGGUGAAAUGCGUAGAUAUCAGGAGGAACACCCAUGGCGAAGGCAGCAAACUGGUCCGUAUCUGACGCUGAGGCGCGAAAGCGUGGGUAGCAAACAGG
Molecule: ribosomal RNA, 253 nt
Filed under: uncultured bacterium
Lineage: Bacteria
Description: partial 16S ribosomal RNA
Rfam family: Bacterial small subunit ribosomal RNA
Source: RNAcentral